UCCAAUUUAGGGCUUUGCAGGGGCUCCCUCCAGGGCUCUCUCAAUGGAUUUAUAUCACAGCCAGAUAGCAUCUUCGAAAGCUCAUCUGAGCUGGAAAAUAGAGAAACAUCCUUCUCCAUUGUCAAGUGACAAGCGAUGGUACCCAGGCUGCUGACUCUUCAAUCCUGCAAAUCUUGAAACAAAGACUUCCCUGUCCUCUCGGCUUGUCACCUGUAGGCAUGAAGAUGUCAGCUCCCUGGCCAACCACCAGGUAUGAAAGCUGCCCUACUGCGUGCACCAGGUGGGGCUCCUCUUAGUUGUUCCUGGAUGGGAUUAUGACCCAGAGUGAGGAAGUGCACUGCCCACAUACCUAAGGAUCUGCUGCUAUCAUCCGGGGCCUGAAAAAGGGCAAAGGGACUCUGUUGCUAUCUUUAGACCUGAUUGCUGGCUGCGAUACCAGCCUCUAGCCAAGGGUGUUUGCAGUCCUAGAGCGUUCUUUCCAAAUAGGGAACACCAAGGAUGUUUGCAAACAUAGAAUGCCUUUUUCAAAUCGGACCAUCAAACUCCACCCUCUGAACAGUUUCACGUACUUCUUGGUGUCCUGUGACUUCAUUUUGUCCCAGUCCUGUUCUAUAAGAGCCCUCAGUGUCUGAGAGCUUGCCCCAAAGCAAGUGCACCAGCUCAGACCUGGGGUGGGGCUCCUGUAGUGUGCCAUUUAGGUCUGUGGAGAAGAAGCAGCUGUGUGCAUCUGGACCCUCAGUGCUGUUUCUACACACAGACUCUGAUGCCAGGGUUCUACAGCCCCCUAUAAGACGUGGUCCACUUAUACCUUGCAGAUGAGGAAACCCAGGAACGGGCUGGAGAGAUGGCUCAGCCGUUAAAAGGCUAGGCUCACAACCAAAUAUAUAAGAGGAAACCCAGGAACUAGAAGAGGAAGUGACUGACUGGCCAUGGUGUGAGGCAUGGAACAGGGCAAGAGAGCAGGCUGUUCAAUCAUAGACUCCGUCCUUCUCAAUGUGACUGUGACUGUCAAUGUACAGGUGCCGGGACCUCAGGAGGUUUCCAGAAUGAAGGAAUCUGUGUCUAUGUCUGCUGUCCAGGCCUGCAGCGAAGUGGUGACCAGUGGAGAGGCCAGGUGGUGUAGGGGCUGCACCCAGCUUGCUGCUCGGUAUAAAAUGGAAAUUUGGAGCUGUUUGCAGGUCUUCUCACCCCCACACUGAGAAGGGAGCAGGCAGACUUUGCGCCUGAAGACAAGAACACAGUGCUGGGUAACACAAGCAGCUGGUUCUUAUGUAAAUAUUGACGGAGUUGCUACCCCGGUCCUGGCAGUGGGUGGGAGCCCUUUGACGGUAAGAGAAUGCACCAUUGUGGUCCAUUGUGAGGUGUGGGGUGAGUAGGACACAGGGCUAAGUCUGAGCACGACAGAACUGUGGGCUGAACAGGAUCACCAUGUGGGCCUCCACUUGCUCCUUACUCCAUAUCUACCUUCUGCAGAUCUCUCUGGCAUCCCUGGAGCGGGCCUACCUGUAUGGGAUCCACCUCAGCGGAUAGCCAGCAGCAUACCAGGCAGUUGGCUCAGGGAGGGAACACCUGGAUGGGCUAGUCCUGGCAACCCCGGAUGAAGAACAUCACUGGUGGUGAGUGAUCUGUGGUGCCAACAGCAGGAGGGGAAAAAGAAGGAGGAGGAGGAGUAGGAAGGGGAGGAGGAGGAGGAAAAGGAGG
Molecule: small RNA, 1701 nt
Filed under: Rattus norvegicus (Norway rat)
Lineage: Eukaryota; Metazoa; Chordata; Mammalia; Rodentia; Muridae
Description: uncharacterized LOC108351687
Source: RNAcentral